AUUGAAAAGGAUGGAUUAAGUGCAGCGAAACAAAAAGAUCUGUGCUUAAUUGCCAUAGAUUACAGAAUCGAUGAAUUUUUUUGAUGUUGCGCUUUAAAUGGUGAAUGCUCAUACCGUAUAUGGUGCUUCACCUCCUUUAGUUUGGUAUAUAUUUGUGUCUCCCAUUUAUCGUUGAAGUUUAACCUGAAAAUAAGCAAAGAAUAAGAUUCACAGUUGGUUGUACAAUCUUGGUUCAGAAGAUCGGACCAAAGAAUCUGGUCCACCGUUUUGUGUAGUAUGUAAUAAUAUGAUCACAUUAUGUUUCUCUUUUCUCUAAGACAUUGUUUUUGGUCGACAUUGAUAUUCCAGAUUUAGUUGUAUAGAUCAAAUCAGAUAAUAUAGAUUUUAAAACCGAUUAAGCAAUUAACAUGUAACUUCCCAUCAGAUUAUUCCUAUCAUGAGAUCAACAAUAGUAAUAUAGUUUUAACAUGAAUAAAGAUCUAUGUGUGUGCUUGAUCCUCUCAGGGCCUUGUUAGGACUUUACAUGAUGGUGAAUUAUAUCUAACCAAGUCAACCAAAAGUGAAAAUUUAUGCUUUAAUUUGGCAAUCCAAUACCAAAUUAGCAGAGUCCAUUCAGGAUUAUUAAGAUACUUUGAUCAAAAUGGUAGAACCAUAACUUCUUAUUCAGAUAUGGCGGCUGUAAAUUGACCUAUAUAAAAAAUUACCAGAUUGAUCCAAAUUUCUGCAUAAAAUUCCUCAAGCUCCAAAUUGGAUCAUCAGACAAACUUGCGAUUACUGUUAUAUAUUGAUAUGUUAUGCGUCUUUUGUUUUGAUGAUUUGACAAACUUUAUGAGAAAACCAGAUAGGAACCUGAUACAAUUAGUUCCCUUGCGUUCAGAGUAACUAGUCAGAUGUCUGGUUCAAUUCUCAAUGAAAUCAGAUAAGGGAACAACAGAGGGAACAUAUAGGGAUCAGUUCUCCUAGUCGUCGUGCAGUCAACUCUAUAGCUGUAAAAGCUGUUGCACUGUACCGUAUGGCAGGCUGCUGCUCCACCAAACUUCGAGGAAGGACAAUCAACCUAUAGACCCAAGAUUCAAUGACCAAUACUAUGGUUGGUGAAAAACAAGAAUACAUGACUUCAUUAUGGCUGAAUACUCCGAACUUUGGGACGUGAUUUGUGAUGGUCCCUUUGUCCCUAUGAAGGUUGUUGGAGAGGGAACAAGGACUAUUCCAAAGACAAGAAAAGAAUACAAUGAUGCUGACUGAAAAGUUGUUGAGAAGAACUUCAAGGCGAAGAAGAUUCUUGUAUGUGGUAUUGGACCAGACGAGUAUAAUCGUAUCUCGGCAUGUGAAUAUGCCAAGGAAAUCUGGGAAGCUCUUAAAACGGCUCACGAGGGAACUACUCAGGUGAAGCAGUCUAAAAUAGAUAUGCUUACAACUGAGUAUGAUCUCUUUAAAAUGAAAGAGGAUGAAGCCAUUCAAGAGAUGCAUACCUGUUUCACCUCCAUAAUCAAUGAGCUUAAUUCUCUUAGUGAAAUCAUUCCAACCAACAAGCUGGUCCGGAAGACACUCAGUGUUCUACCAGGUUCCUGGGGGAGAAAGGUUAAUGUUAUCACUAAAGCCAAAGACCUACAAAAGCUGACUAUUGACGAGCUUAUUGGAAAUCUCAAAACUUAUGAGAUGAAGAGAAAGAAGGUUAUUGAAAGAAGAGAGCCCAAUAAGGAGAAGAAACUAGUUCUCCAGGCUUCCAACAAUGACUCAAGUAGUGAUGGAUCUAACAUGGAGUAUCUCAUUCGAAGAUUCCAAAAGAUGAUUCAAAAACAUGGUGGGAUUCCAAAGAAAGGAAGUUCCAGUAGGAAUUUCAAAGGAAAUGAUUGCUGUCAUAAGUGUAGAAAGUCUGGACACUUCAUUAAAGACUGUCCUCCUUAUAAGCAGGAUCAUUACAAAAUCAACACUGAUAAGGUGGCUAAGAUAAACCAGGUCCCUGAUAGGAAGUUCAAAAGAAGAGAUAUUGUUGACAACAUGAUGAAGUAAGCUUUGGCUGACUGGGGAGAUUCCUCCAGUGAAUCUGAAGGCGAGGAUGAACAAGGAGAUGCAUCUAUGAUGGUUGUUGACAAUUAAUCUUCAGAAUAUGAGUCAAUCUUUGCACUCAUGGCAAAAUUUGAUGAUGAAGAGGAAAAUGAGUAAGAUGAGGUAAGUUUUCUUGAUGUUCAAAGAAAUUUAAAAACUCUCUAAGAAAAAAUUGAUGUCCUUAACAAAUGUUUUGAUUGAUGCUUAUCAUAGCCUCAUUAAUGAGAAAAAUGCUCUAAUUAAAGAAAUUGAUGACAUAGAACAAGAGAGGGAUGAUAUGGUAGUUUCUAUUGUAGACUUGAAGGAACAUGUGGAAGAAGUAACCAGAGAAAUACCUUAUUGAAAAACUAAAUGAAAAAAUGGAUGGACACCCCUAAGGGUAAAAAGUGGCUAGUGAAGCUCAACUUGAGCUUGAGAGUGAGCUUAAGAAAGUUAAAACAAGUCUUGUUGUUGAGAUUGAAAAGAAUAGACAACUUCAGGAGGAUCUGAAAAGGGUUUAAAAUGAUCUUGAUAAGUCACUUAAAUGUACCCGGUCCUCUGAUGUGAUAACGUCUAUGUGCAAGAGUGAUGGUGGAAACAAGUAAGGAAUUGAAUUCCAAAAGGCUAAAACCUCCUUUAAUCCCCAUAGCAAGUAUGUAACUGUGGCUGAUAAUUGGUUGUGUACUCAUUGUGGUCAAACGGGUCAUUACAAAGACUCUUGUAAAACUAAUAUUCAGUCUUUGUAGAAAAAUAAAUUUUUUGUUGAAAAGAUGCCUACUGUUGAGGAACCUGGUUCCCCAAAAAGAAAAUAUGUGAUGCCUGCAUGGGCAAAAAUAAGUUUGAUCCGCCCGUUCUAUCAUUAUAAGGGAUCCAAGCUGGCUUGGGUUCCUAAGUCUAAUAAGUGAUUUCAUGUGCAGGCUGGAGUGAAAGGUAGCAGUCAAAAAAUAGUACAUGGAUAGCAGCUGCUCUAAGCAUAUGACUGGAAUAAUGGACGAUUUCCUCUCACUCUAGGCCUUCCAAUGUGGGAGUGUGUCCUUUGAAAACGACAAGAAGGGCUAUAUUCUUAGUGUUGGCAAAAUUGACAAAACACUCCCCCGUGUAACUGAAAAUGUGUACCAUGUGAAUGGCUUGAAAUAUAGCUUGUUGAGUAUGUCUCAAAUUUUGUGAUAAGGGAAAAUGAAGUGAAGUUCUUGUCCAAAUCUUGCAUUGUCACCAAUCUCAAAACUGGUGAAGUGUUGUUGAUAGCCAAAAUGUACAAGAACAUCUAUGUUGCAGACCUUGAUUCACUGAAUGAUGGUGAUCUAACAUGCCUAAGUGUCAUUGAUGAUGAUGCUGAGUUAUGCGCAGUCGAUUGGGCAUGUGAGUUUUUAUUUGCUGAACAAGUUUGUCAUGAAGGACCUAGUUCGUGGGCUGAAGCAGUCAACACUGCCUGCUACUUGAUUAACAAGUGCAUGAUCAGGUCCCUUCUCGAGAAGUCUCUCUAUGAACUUCUCAAUGGGAGAAAAUCUAAGCUGACUUACCCGAGAGCCUUUGGAUGCAAAAUGUUUUGUUCUCAACCAUGAUGGCAAAGGGUCACAUAACAAAGACGAUGAAGAUGAAGAAUUUACAAAUGUUCCUGGUGAAGCUAUAGAUAUUGCAAAUGGAAAGACUGAUUUGGUGAGUCAAGUCAAGCAGAGUGAUGAAGGAGAUGCAGCAGAAUCUCCAAAAGGCACAGAGGAACCUGGUCCCUCUAUCACCUCGACUGAAGCUGAACAUAUGGUUGCUGAUGUUGCAUUAGGUACUCCUGAUGCAGAACAAAGGAAUGAAAGUUGAGCAUAAGAACAUCAAAGAAGCAUUAAAAAUGCUAACUGGAUAGCUGUUAUGCAAGAAGAAAUCCAUCAUUUUGAGAGGAACAAAGUGUGGCACAUGGUCCCUAGGCUUUCAAACAGAACAAUGAUUGGAACCUAGCCCAAAAGAAUCUCACUUGAAGGAUGCCAAAGGAAUUUUGAAGUAUCCUAAGGGAACGCAGGACUUAGUCCUCGUCUAUUUUUCAAGAGAUAAUUUUGACUUGGUUGGAUAUGCUAAUGCUUAUUAUAUUGGAUAUCUGGUGGAUAGAAAGAGAAUAUCUGGAAUGACACAUUUUAUGGGGUCAUGCUUGAUCUUAUGGGGUACAAAGAAAUAAACUUUGUGGCUCUUUCUACUGUUAAUGCUGACUUGAACCUUAUACAUCACAAGAGGACAAAGCACAUUGAUGUGCGACAUCACUUUUUGAGGGAUAAUGUUGAAAAAGGUCUGAUUUUUAUGAAGUUCUAGAAGAUAGAGAACCAGGUAGCAAACAUCUUCACCAAGGCGCUAAGCAAGGAACAUUUUGAAAGAAAUCGUCUGGAGUUGGGGUUGAUCAAGCUCAACUAAGGACCUGGUCCCUUGAUGAUUGGCUAUGUUAAGAAGGAAAGCUACAAUUCUAAAAGGUAUUUUUCAAUGACAUCUAACUCAAAUCUAUACUGUUACAGGUAUACAUACAUGGCAGUUUCAGGACAAAACAAGUAAGAGUGGCAUUGAACUUCUAGAAAUCUUUGCUCAGAUUUUCAAAAACCGUCAAGGAACCUGGUUCCUGCGACAUAAGUUAGUAGUCUUUCUAAUACUUAUAUGCCUUUUUAACCUGUUGAAGUGUCAUGUCAUUCAUUUAUUCCCACCGCUCGCCUAAUUUUUAAAGUCCAAAAUGUUAAACCUUUUUUGAACUGACUGGUUGCCCCCAAAAAAACUACUUUCUUCUCUUACACCCAACCAAAACCGAUUCUUUUCUUCAAAGCCAAAAUCAACCUUGUCUAAAAAAAAAAAUCCUUUUCUCCAAAUAUGCUAGAAGUUAACCCAGCUCUGUCACCUUCCAAAAUCCUAACUCUAUCUGAAUCAAAACCACAAGAAGUCUUUGGUAGAUUUUGAUGGAAGUUUAACAGAAAAGGAAGGGGUAGAUCAAAUAUUCUAGAGCGUGAGGCUAAAAUUGUUGCUGGGAUGUAGAAGUCUUGAAGGAUGGAGGAAUUGAUGAAUGUGCUGAAAAAGGGGGAACUGAAUGAGGGACCUGAUCCCUCAAGUCCUUCUCAGGAUGUUAAUUCUAAUGACCUUUUUCUUUUUGAGUUCUCUGUUUAAACGAACUUCUGAUCCAGUGAAAAGGAUUGAUGAAAAGUAGGUUGAUUGAUGAUGAAGUGGCGUGACCUGCUGAUGUGGUGAAUUUAGAAGAGAGAAUGAAGCCAAAAAUUCUUCACGUGUGAGAAAGAAUUUAAAAAUGAUCAAAAUGGAGAAAAGAAAGUCGGUUGAAAAAGAUGCAACAAAUGAUAAGGGUGAACAGAUUGAGAAGAAGAAGAGGGAGACAUGGCCGCUCAGGAAAAAGAAAGGGUAGUGUGAGUGAGGAACCUGGUUCCUUACAGAAGCAAAAUAUUGAGUUAUCGGGUUUGGAGAGGUACAAGACUCUAAAGUCUCAAAAAGUGCUGUUAGGCAGAGUGUUGACUAUGAUAUUGCUGAAAAAUGAAGGAACUUCUUGACAUUGUUGAGUUCCAAAAAUAGAAUCACCUCUUUGUUCCUCUAAGUCCCAACGUUUAUGAAGAAGAAGUAAAAAUUGGGACUGGGUUUGUUCUUGAUAAGGAGAAGCUUGGGGAGAUGCUUGGUGAUAUGAUUGAUGGUUUAGCCUACUCAGAUAGGUAGAGAACCAGGUCCCCGUGGAGCCUUGGUAGAAUAGAAUUCCCAACUGAAGGGUGAGAAUGGAAGAUUGAUUAAACAUGUGGAGGACCUGAGAGAGCAGAUAAUCAUUGAUCAAAGGAUUGUGAAUGAACGAAUGGACAUGCUCAUCAAGUCCUUCGCCCAUUACUUUUCUUCAUGCUCAGUGAUCCAUGUAUUUCACUCCUUCCAAAUUCCCUCGAAUUCCUAUCUUAUUUUGAUCCCUAUGUUUGAUGACAUUGAUACUUUAGUUGUUUAAAAUAUCAUAUUCUGUAAUGUUGAAACUACUGUGCUUUUAUUAUAAUUACUCUACUAUGGGCAAUUACUUUAUUUCGUGCAAUGACAUUCACUUGUUGUUCUUAUUAUUGUUUAUGUUGUGUUGCCCUAGUAGCAUGAGUUAAUGUUGCUAAACUUCUUUUUGGUUGUGCUUCUUCUGUUAUUCUCUUCAAUGAUCCCAAAAUGGGGAAGUUACACAAGUGUCAACUGGGGGGGGGGGGGGAGGGGGGGAUAUAAUUGAAUUGAUAUGUUGUGUUGUGCAUGAAAGAUAGCGCUGCUUCGCAAGGGGAACGUUACUGAUAACAUGUUGAUUAUAGGUCUGAUCCGCAAGGGAACGUGUGAGGAAUCUGGUUCUCAAGGGGAACAUUAAUUUUGGGUUUGUUAUCAUCAAAAUUGGGGAAAUUGCCCUAAGUUACGAUGUUUCAUGUUUUGAUGAUUUUCCAAACGUUCUCAAGGAACCAGGUAAGGACCAGAUGUGAUCAGUACAUGUAAGGAAUCUGAUUCUCAGGAGAAAUAGCAAUUUUGGGUUUGUCAUCAUCAAAAGGGAAAAAUUGAUAAGUUAUGCUAUUUUGUGUUUUGAUGAUUUGCUAAACAGUCUCGAGGAACCAAUUGUGAUCAGUUCCUUUGGUCUGGUUCUCAUGGGGAAUAUGGAUGAUUCGUAGGGGGAACAAUGUGGGGAUAUGAUUUUCAGGGGGAUAUCAAUUCUAAGUUUGUUAUCAUCAAAAAGGGAGAAAUUGAUAAGUUAUGCGUCUUUUAUUUUGAUGAUUUGACAAACUUCAUGAGAAAACCGGAUAAGGAACCUGAUACAAUCAGUUCCUUUGCAUUCACAGUAAGUAGUCAGAUGUCUGGUUCAAUUCUCAAUGAAAUCAGAUAAGGGAACAGUAGAGAGAACAUAUAUGGAUCACCCCUAGUCGUCGUGCAGUCAACUCUACAGCUGUAAAAGCUGUUGCACUGUACCAUGUGGUAGGCUGCUGCACUGUACCGUCUGGCAGCAGUACAGAAUCACAGUUGUAGCUUGCUAAGACUAAACUAAAGGA
Molecule: long non-coding RNA, 7028 nt
Filed under: Nicotiana tabacum (common tobacco)
Lineage: Eukaryota; Viridiplantae; Streptophyta; Magnoliopsida; Solanales; Solanaceae
Description: long non-coding RNA (NTAB_LNC013917)
Source: RNAcentral